CUGCUGUAACGAAAUUAUGGCCUUAUAUUAUGUUAAGUGCUAAUACCGGUUUUCUUUUGAUCUCCUGGAUGAUAUAGGAGUCAUUUCAACGUUACCCAACAGGUGGCUAAACAAAUAAAAACUACCUGAUGUACCCCUUGUAAAAACUUGAGUCAUCCUCCUCCUUGGAGCUAGCUUUUGGGGUAAGCUAGCCUGCUUCAUUUUCUCAUCAUCAUUGGGAUACCAUGAGAACAUUGCUUGCUAUAGAAAAUUUCAAGUUGCUGAAACUUCUAGUGUAACACCAGGUGUAGGCUCUAGUACCUGAGCAUCUGGUAGCUCCUUUGCCAAAAGCUCCUUGAAUGACUCAACUGUUCCUUCUGCGUGGAUGAUGCUGGCAAGAAAUCCUUUGCUAUCAAGGUCUCCAUUUUUCAUUGGCACAAUGAACUUGGCAUGCAGCAACUUUGCAAGUUUGACAGCAUCUUCUUGUCCAUAAACCAAAGUAAAAUUUGGCAGAAGCUGCUUUAUGACUGGUGUAAUAACAAUAUCAGCAUGCUCCUUCUCAAGAAAACUUUUGUUAUAUGCACAGUGGGGUUCAUAGUAAAGAGUCAUUUGGCUUUGUGGAGAAUUGACAAGGUACCCAUUCUCAGGCCGCUGCCAAGGUGGACCCAGAACUGGCCCUGCAGUAGCUUGAACUCUGACUUUAGAAUCAUCACUAGCUUCAAUUUCAGAGCUCUGACCAGGUUCUAAAUAUGUAACAUUGCUAAAAAGGGGAUCCAGCAAAGGCUUAGCAUUAGGAGUUGCAAUGACUCUAAGGUUAGGCAACAUUUCAGAAAGUGGCUUUAAGGUCUUCAAGUGGCAAUGAUCAUCAAGGCUUUGAGUAAUCAAUAAGCAAUCCACUUCAGGAAGAUCUCUAAGCUGGAAAUUCUUUAAGACCUUCUUGGCAGCAUCAUAUAGCCAGGGAAUUCCAAAAUCCAAGUUACCCACCAGGAUUGGGUCAACCAAAAUGUUCACCCCACCAACCUCCCAUAACCAACUGUUCCCCUCCAAGUAAGUGAGCCUGAACACAUCAGUGCUAGCAGAAGUCGACCCAACUGCGCUUCCUUCAGAGAUUACUGCAGAAACAACCUUAUCCAGCCUGUUUCUUGGUAGCCUUUGUGCGCUGGAACUGAUGCAGAAUGGACGGUUAUAGACUGAGGAAAGGCGGAUGGGUGAGAAUAGCUUGAAGGGAGAUAAGGUUCUGAUUCUACAAUGACUG
RNAcentral lists this unclassified non-coding RNA (1234 nucleotides) under Hevea brasiliensis (rubber tree). Lineage: Eukaryota; Viridiplantae; Streptophyta; Magnoliopsida; Malpighiales; Euphorbiaceae. The record is from RNAcentral.